This 1502-nucleotide long non-coding RNA is filed under the name Lotus japonicus. RNAcentral describes it as "long non-coding RNA (LJAP_LNC001308)". The record is from RNAcentral. Lineage: Eukaryota; Viridiplantae; Streptophyta; Magnoliopsida; Fabales; Fabaceae.
GUUGGGGUAUGCCUUCUUGGCCUCCUCAAGUUCCUUCAAAACCUGAGAAGCAUCAGUGGUUCCAAACAUGGGCAGCUUCCACAUUGUCCAGUAACGUCCAUCAUAGUAUCCUGGUGACUUGUGGUUCUCACGGUACACAAACCCUUUCUAUAAACAUAAGCACACACACCACAAUUUAGAGAUUAGCUAUCAACAUUCAAACCCAAGUAGUACAAAAAGAAAAAAAACAUUAAAAUAUCAUCCACCCAUGAAUUAUAUCGUCCACGCAUGAACUAUGUUUUUACUUGUCAUAUAAAGAUAGCAUUUAGAUAUGUGUGUUUGGUUUCUCAUUAGGAGUGAGACCUUAGCUCUUUUUCUUUUUAUGCAUUGUACCAAAAAAAAAAAAAAAAAACCUCAUAAUCAUCUAUAGCACACUGAAAUAAGUUUUGAAUGAAAAAUAUUAAUGAAGAAUUGAUUUUUGAUCAGUAGAAAGUGUGGCUUCUCGCUUUCUUCUGUUAAUAUAAAUAAUUAAUAGAUUUUACAACUGAAUUUUACAGCACUACGAAACAAAAAUCUUUUAUUUUUUGUAUCCUGAAUCUAGACAUAAAUCAGUUCAAUUUAAACUAAAUUUUCCUAUAAUUAAUUUUACAAAAAUCAUUUUCACUAAAAUCAACUGCAGAUCCAAACAUCUUGCACUUAGUAUAUGUGUUAAACUUAGUUUAUUAGGAAGCUCUUUAAACAAAAAUGAUAUUAGGACACACACCUAUUUCAAUGUGGAUAGAAUUGACAUAUGAAAAUUGGGUUUCAGUGGAGUAUGCAUAUUGUAAAGAUGUUUAAAAAUCAAAAUUGGUGGAUAAAUGCUCUAUUAAGCACAUGUAUAAUGACUAAACAUGACACACAGUUCCAAAUAUUUGAUGUGUGUGGUGGGAGUCCAAUACUGUACAGUGCUCUAAAUAUCACCAAAUUGAAGAACAAAAAAUUGUAAGUGAAAAUUAACCUCAGUCUCAAAUUCCAAGCAAGGAACCCAUCCCUUCCUGAUAAGGUAUUCUACUUCCUUUGCCAAUUGCUCCACGGUGAGUGGUGGAAGGUAAGAAAGGGUCUCAAACUUCUUCUUGCCAAUUGGAGGCCACACCUAAAGAAUUGUAUGCACAAUAAAUUUUGAGUACAUUAAAGAGGUUACCAUAGUUUCACUUUUGUGUGCACAUUUGCUAUAUGACAAUUUAAGGUACAUAAAUAUGUAAAAUUGAGCAAAUUAAUCAAAAAAAUUAUGUGUUACCUGCAUGCAGUUGACUCUUCCACCAUUGCUUGCAAUGGAGGUGAUGUCAUUGUUGGCCUUUCUUGUAACUGGGAAACCAGCCAUGGAUUUGAGACCAGUGAAUGGGGCAACCAUGUUGGCAUGGUUAACAGUGGUAACAGCAGGGGAGGAAAUCAUAGAGGAGGCCAUUUUCCCUUCUCCUUCUCGGUUCUCUGCUACUUGGUUUUCCAAGCUCUGCUAAAGCUUGCUAUAUAUAAUGGUGAGAUUU